GUUAGUCUUAAAUUUAAAUGAAGAGCUACCAGGUAAGGUUUGAAUUCAAUCCUUCUGAUUUCUUUAAUAUUGGCCCUUUUGUUGGCUUUUGUUUUAUACUUCAAGUUCCUUAGGUUCAUGCUAACAUACUGACCUUUAAGUUGCAUUCUGAUGGCAAAACAGCUCUCAUCCAAAAGUUAUCAUUAGUUGUCAUAGAGGCACUGCAGCUCUUACCCAUUCCUGUCCUGAAUCUCACUGGGGUUCCCUCUCAGAUGCUGAAAAAUUGCACAGCUUAGAUCUAUUUUCAGAAGUCUAAAGGUUUGAAUCAAGGCAGAUUCAAAGUACAUAUUCAAAAAAUUCUAAAAGAAGCAGACAGCUCAAAAAAUCUCAAAUUCUAGAAAUUAGGUGCUCACUUACAGAGAGCCAUUCUUGGAAGCACUGCGGGACCACCCAUUGUCGGGGAGGUGUUCACUCUUCAUUAUCAUACUGCAUUAGAAAUGGGUUAUUUUUCUUUGCAGUAAUGAAACUGGUACUUCCAAGUCUUUUUUUAGAUGUUCAUAUUUUAGAGAAAUUCUUUUGGGUAUGGGAAACAAGGCAACCAAGGAAUGGAUUUGCUAUUGUAUAUUUAAUUGCUAUUUGUAUAUUUAAUAUCCUUCCUGGCCCAGGGUCUUCGGGUAAAUUGAUGUAUUGUGUGUAAGGUGGUGUUUGGAAAUGACAACAAUAAGCUAAUAAGAAGUGGAGUGAACAAGUCUUAAUUCCUAUUCCUAUUUUUAUUUUGCUCUGUUAUUUUGCAUUGCAUUUUGCAGUGUUAGCCUGCCUGCCUCGUUCGUCAACUGUACACAUGGAGAGAUCUUUAUUGCAUUUCUUUCCUACCUCUCCUUAGGUCAUGAGGGAUUUCCUGUCCUGGAAUUAUUCUCCAUUCAAUGAGUAUUUAUUAAUUUAAACAUAAUUUCCCUUUAGUAACAGAAAGAACAGGGGCCAGGGUUGGGGAAGGACUAAAUAAGAAAUCAAACACUUGAAUCCCUAAAACUGUCCAAGGGUAUAUUGUUACUUGUAGCAUAGAAAGUGAUGGGUGAUGACUUUCUGCAUCCUAGCAUUUGAUUGAAUUAAAAUUUGAUGCUUAUAUAUAACAUAUGAAUAAUACAUUGUGUUUUCCCUGACCUUUGCCAUUUAUGAUUUAUAGCUUAUUGCUGGCUGAGAUUUCUGCAUUUUUCAUAGAACUGUAAACUUAUCAAAUACUGCAGUUUUCUUAGAAAUCAGCACAUUCAUUUUGCUCACUUAAAAAGUUUGAUGGCUGAGACACGAAGGAUUUCUGAGUUGUUGGACAGGUCAGCCCAGGACCAGGGCCAUGUUUCAUGAUGCUGAGGCCACUGUGCUGGGUACCUCAUUUCCUUGUUUCUGUAGUGCUUGUUGUUUUUACUUCCAUGAAACUUUAUUCUUAUCCCAGUUGUUUCAAGUUUUAGUUUUAUAAUGAAUUAUAAUUGGUUAUAGGUUUAUUCUUUUAUUCCAUGAAUGUUAAUUUUCUAAUCAUGCCAUAUAAUGUGUAUGAUGUACAUACUAUAGACAUCUUCAUAUAAUUUCAUGUUAUGCUGACUUAUCAUUUAGUUAAGAUUAGAAAUCUGGUUUAUGAAUGAGUACCUUUGUAACUAGAUUUAUAUGCUAAUGUAAAUGUAAAUAAUCCAGGUCAUUAAUAGUUUGCAACUAAUAUGUAACUCAGGAUAUUUUGGAUAAGCAUGUAACUGUAGCUACCUCUGUGUUCAGUACAUUAUAUAAAUAUAGACGACAACACGCUGAUUGGCCUCCAUAUGGAGAAAUAACAAUAUUCAAGUGGAUGUGUUUGUCUUGGACAUUGAGUUCUGAAUGCCCAAACUGAAGUUGGUUGAGAAAACAAAAGAUGAGGAAGUAAAUUAACUGAAAGCAUCUCAUAAGGGAUCAAGUAAAUCAUCAAGGAAAAUCAUGUAGAUAACAGCCAUCCAGAGUUUAUACAAUGUUACUUCUGUUUUUCUUUUCAGAUUCUAAGACCAUUUUAUUUAACAUAGUCAUCCUGCAUAUCGGUGGGGUUUGCAUCCAUGGAUUCAAUAAACUGUAGAUUGAAAACAU
Molecule: long non-coding RNA, 2079 nt
Filed under: Marmota monax (woodchuck)
Lineage: Eukaryota; Metazoa; Chordata; Mammalia; Rodentia; Sciuridae
Source: RNAcentral